RNAcentral lists this ribosomal RNA (673 nucleotides) under uncultured bacterium. Its description in RNAcentral is "bacterial SSU rRNA". It matches the Rfam family "Bacterial small subunit ribosomal RNA", at positions 94 to 803 of the family's 1533-position model. The record is from RNAcentral.
AGCGGCGGACGGGUGAGUAACGCGUGGGAAUAUGCCCCUCUCUAAGGAAUAGCCUCGGGAAACUGAGAGUAAUACCUUAUACGCCCUUCGGGGGAAAGAUUUAUCGGGAAAGGAUCGGCCCGCGUUAGAUUAGGUAGUAGGUGGGGUAAUGGCCUACCAAGCCUACGAUCUAUAGCUGGUUUGAGAGGAUGAUCAGCCACACUGGGACUGAGACACGGCCCAGACUCCUACGGGAGGCAGCAGUAGGGAAUCUUAGACAAUGGGGGAAACCCUGAUCUAGCCAUGCCGCGUGUGUGAUGAAGGCCUAGGGUCGUAAAGCACUUUCGCCAGAGAUGAUAAUGACAGUAUCUGGUAAAGAAACCCCGGCUAACUCCGUGCCAGCAGCCGCGGUAAUACGGAGGGGGUUAGCGUUGUUCGGAAUUACUGGGCGUAAAGCGCACGUAGGCGGAUUAGUAAGUUAGAGGUGAAAUCCCAGGGCUCAACCCUGGAACUGCCUUUAAUACUGCUAGUCUUGAGUUCGAGAGAGGUAAGUGGAAUUCCGAGUGUAGAGGUGAAAUUCGUAGAUAUUCGGAGGAACACCAGUGGCGAAGGCGGCUUACUGGCUCGAUACUGACGCUGAGGUGCGAAAGUGUGGGGAGCAAACAGGAUUAGAUACCCUGGUAGUCCACACCGA